GAUGAACGCUGGCGGCGUGCCUAAUACAUGCAAGUCGAGCGAACAGACGAGGAGCUUGCUCCUCUGACGUUAGCGGCGGACGGGUGAGUAACACGUGGAUAACCUACCUAUAAGACUGGGAUAACUUCGGGAAACCGGAGCUAAUACCGGAUAAUAUAUUGAACCGCAUGGUUCAAUAGUGAAAGACGGUUUUGCUGUCACUUAUAGAUGGUUCCGCGCCGCAUUAGCUAGUUGGUAAGGUAACGGCUUACCAAGGCAACGAUGCGUAGCCGACCUGAGAGGGUGAUCGGCCACACUGGAACUGAGACACGGUCCAGACUCCUACGGGAGGCAGCAGUAGGGAAUCUUCCGCAAUGGGCGAAAGCCUGACGGAGCAACGCCGCGUGAGUGAUGAAGGUCUUCGGAUCGUAAAGCUCUGUUAUUAGGGAAGAACAAAUGUGUAAGUAACUAUGCACGUCUUGACGGUACCUAAACAGAAAGCCACGGCUAACUACGUG
RNAcentral lists this ribosomal RNA (497 nucleotides) under uncultured bacterium. RNAcentral's name for it is "partial 16S ribosomal RNA". It matches the Rfam family "Bacterial small subunit ribosomal RNA", at positions 28 to 507 of the family's 1533-position model. The record is from RNAcentral.